Molecule: non-coding RNA, 107 nt
Organism: Macaca mulatta (Rhesus monkey)
Lineage: Eukaryota; Metazoa; Chordata; Mammalia; Primates; Cercopithecidae
Source: Rfam
GUCUAUGGCCGUACCACCCUAAAAGUGCCUGAUCUUUUCUGAUCUUAGAAACUAAGCAGGCUUGAGUCUGGUCAGUACUUGGAUGGGAGAUACCUAUUUCAUACAUC